This 246-nucleotide ribosomal RNA is filed under the name uncultured bacterium. Its description in RNAcentral is "partial 16S ribosomal RNA". It matches the Rfam family "Bacterial small subunit ribosomal RNA", at positions 15 to 263 of the family's 1533-position model. The record is from RNAcentral.
GAUCAUGGCUCAGGACGAACGCUGGCGGCGUGCUUAACACAUGCAAGUCGAACGGAAAGGCCCUGCUUGCAGGGUACUCGAGUGGCGAACGGGUGAGUAACACGUGGGUGAUCUGCCCUGCACUUCGGGAUAAGCCUGGGAAACUGGGUCUAAUACCGGAUAGGAGCCAUUUUUAGUGUGAUGGUUGGAAAGUUUUUUUCGGUGUAGGAUGAGCUCGCGGCCUAUCAGCUUGUUGGUGGGUAAUGG